AACACAAUGCUAUUAUAAGAACUGUUGGAAUAUUUAGUUAAUAAAAACGAUACAAAUGAAAGUGAUGUACACCUGCAUAAAUAUCCAAUCGAUUAAAUAUGGAAAAGCUUUUGGGGCCAAAAGUUUUGUACUUGCAAAGACAAAACUCGCACUUGAAAAAAAACCAAAACCUUGAAUCUGAAAAUAAACGCGCUGAGCUUAAAACUUGAAAAAUAAAACAAUACAUUUGUCAUGAAGUGAUUGGAGCUGGGCGACCAAAUGCAGCUUGGACCAGGGUUUAUUGAAGAACUCAAAAGUUAGACUAGAGCGGUGGUUCCUAACCUUUUUCCUUGUUCGCACCCCAUUCAAUUCACCAACCAGUUCUCGCACCCCCUUCCAGAAUUGAUGAAAGUAGUAUUACUACUAAAUAUACAGCACGAGGCAGUACACAUACAUACCUUCUUAGGUCUACUUCGGCUGAUGACUGAAGAGAAACUAACAGUGUGAGGCCGAAGCAGGCUGAUGCAAUGAGUGACACUUAUUACACACGUUGUGAUCAAUGUUUUCCGAGAAACUGUGUUCUGAAGCAUACCUGUCAAAAUCAUGUUAGCUUCCCAAGUUUUUAUUGUGUAUUGUUAUUCGUUUAACAGUACUUAACUUUAUUACUUA
Syngnathus acus (greater pipefish) is the source of this 648-nucleotide long non-coding RNA. RefSeq lists it as uncharacterized. The transcript is spliced from 2 exons. Lineage: Eukaryota; Metazoa; Chordata; Actinopteri; Syngnathiformes; Syngnathidae. The record is from RefSeq and is a predicted model, not a curated record.